UAAAAAUUAGUUAAAGUAAUAACGUAAGUUUGUCAAGCUUAAAUUAUCAAUCCCUGAUAUUUUUAA
RNAcentral lists this transfer RNA (66 nucleotides) under Atyopsis moluccensis. Its description in RNAcentral is "tRNA-Asp". Lineage: Eukaryota; Metazoa; Arthropoda; Malacostraca; Decapoda; Atyidae. The record is from RNAcentral.